RNAcentral lists this ribosomal RNA (719 nucleotides) under Xylographa pallens. RNAcentral's name for it is "eukaryotic LSU rRNA". It matches the Rfam family "Eukaryotic large subunit ribosomal RNA", at positions 65 to 805 of the family's 3401-position model. The record is from RNAcentral. Lineage: Eukaryota; Fungi; Ascomycota; Lecanoromycetes; Baeomycetales; Xylographaceae.
CCAACAGGGAUUGCCUCAGUAACGGCGAGUGAAGCGGCAACAGCUCAAAUUUGAAAUCUGGCCUCACGGUCCGAGUUGUAAUUUGCAGAGGAUGUCUCGGGCGCGAUACCGGUCUAAGUUCCUUGGAACAGGACGUCACAGAGGGUGAGAAUCCCGUACGUGACCGGUGGUUAACCCCAUGUGAGGCUCCUUCGACGAGUCGAGUUGUUUGGGAAUGCAGCUCUAAAUGGGUGGUAAAUUUCAUCUAAAGCUAAAUAUUGGCCAGAGACCGAUAGCGCACAAGUAGAGUGAUCGAAAGAUGAAAAGCACUUUGGAAAGAGAGUUAAAAAGUACGUGAAAUUGUUGAAAGGGAAGCGCUUGCAACCAGACUUGCCCGCGGGUGAUCAACCGUCCUUCGGGGCGGUGCACUCGCCCGUGAUCAGGCCAGUAUCGGUUUCAGCAGCCGGACAAAGACUUCGGGAACGUAGCUCCUCUCGGGGAGUGUUAUAGCCCGUCGUGUAAUACGGUUAGCUGGGACCGAGGACCGCGCUUCGGCUAGGAUACUGGCGUAAUGGUUGUCAGCGACCCGUCUUGAAACACGGACCAAGGAGUCUACCAUCUAUGCGAGUGUUUGGGUGUUAAACCCAUGCGCGUAAUGAAAGUGAACGGAGGUGGGAACCCUUCGGGGGGCACCAUCGACCGAUCCUGAUGUCUUCGGAUGGAUUUGAGUACGAGCAUAG